This 101-nucleotide ribosomal RNA is filed under the name uncultured bacterium. Its description in RNAcentral is "partial 16S ribosomal RNA". The record is from RNAcentral.
AAGAAACCCUGCGCAAAGCGCGAAGUUUCCUCCGAGGCGUGCGCCCGGUAGUUGAAUGGGCGGGGGGAUAGGUGCCGAAGGUAUGGAUGGUGAUUGGGAUG